This 611-nucleotide long non-coding RNA is filed under the name Homo sapiens (human). Its description in RNAcentral is "non-protein coding lnc-TRAF5-6:1". The record is from RNAcentral. Lineage: Eukaryota; Metazoa; Chordata; Mammalia; Primates; Hominidae.
GCCUCUCUCAUUGGCUAAGAAGAACACAACAAUACCCUAGGCAUUUUGGGAAAAGUGUCACUAGGCAACCGCGUCGGCGUCUGCUUUUAACCUGUGGGAGAACCCGGCGAGCUAAGCCAAACGGAGGGCGGGAGAGAGGAAGCGGCAGCUGGCGCCUCUCGGCAACUCUAACCCUCUGAUAGAGAUCGCCAAGAUUGGUAUCCAUAGAGCUUGCUGUGGUUUGAAUGUAUCCCCCAAAGUUCAUGUGUUGGAAACUAUUCUUAAUGCAAAAGUGUUAAGAGGAAACAUUUGGAAACCCCUUGGAGGAGAUCUGCCACAUGGCCUCCAGUGAACUGUAGACUCCUGCAUAGCCUUCCAAAGUUCUUCAUUUGGUGAAUAUUAUGAGAAAUGACACGUAUGACUUUCUCCCAAAUACGUGGCUUAAACCCAAAGUACAGUGAAAUCAGAACUGACCACACAGAGUAAUUGGGGCAAGGGAGUUAUUUGUGACACAAAGCCCUCAUCACUUUAUAAAAGUACUUGCUACUGAUUACAUUGAAAACCAGUCUUCCUGAGUAAAACAUGUUUUUUGUUUUGUAUCGUUUUUGUUUUUGUUUUUUUGAGACAGAGUC